Molecule: long non-coding RNA, 2930 nt
Organism: Capra hircus (goat)
Lineage: Eukaryota; Metazoa; Chordata; Mammalia; Artiodactyla; Bovidae
Exons: 2
Source: RefSeq, a predicted model, not a curated record
AUGAGCCUAGAAUCUUGCAUCUUCCCAUGCAUAGAAAGAUGCUAAAUUUCUUAGUUUGAGAUGCUACCUUUCUGUUUGAAGUUCACUAUUUCUAAAUUUGCAGGUGUAAACUGCUCUUCCUUUUCCAAGAGGAACAAAGGAAGACUAGUCUUGACAUUUAAAAACACCAGCACUAAUGGCAGGCACUCCCAGGAAGAUCCAUCUGGCGAGCAAAAUGGCCCCCCUUCUCCUACAAGAUUAUGAGAUGGACAUUGAGAAGGGGAAUUGUAUCCUGAAAGGGUUAAUCUUACAUUUAUACUGGGUCUGCUUCUGUGACUUUAACCCUUUUUGUUAUUGUAAGCAUUAUGUAUGGCCUGCAGCCUGAGCCACCCACCUAUGAAGCACUGUAAAGAAGUGAAACUUAACACAUUCCCCUGCCUUCCGAUUCUAGGGGACAUUUGCAAGCACUGAAUAGUCUUUUUUACUUUACUAUGUUUCCUUACCUCCCCCCAUCCAAUUAAAAAAACCUAGCAACCAGGCCCUGAGGAGGUGGUUAUUUUGAGGUGCUAGCCUGUUAUCUUCGCAGCUGGCUCCCCGAUUUUAAUUUCUCUUCCUUGCCUCAACACCUCGUCUCUCAGAUUCAUUGGCCUGUCAUGCAGUGAGCAUAGCUAGCUAGCUUGGACACAGAAGGCUGUCUGAGGCUCUUAAAUCUAAACGCUGUAAAGGUCUAUCAGCCAGACUUACACAUAACAAGCCUUGGCCAUCUGAACAAGAAACCUUAAUGCAUACCAACUGCUUAUAAACUAGUAAGUUUAUAUUGUAAUACCUGGUUCAUAACUAAGCAUUUAAAUGAAGCCAUGAGGCUGUUAACAUCAGGCUAUGCUAAUUUACAUUUUAAAGCCUCCUCUGUGCUGGAAACAGUUAAAUCAUACUAAGGAUAAUCAGUCUAGUAAUACUAGAAAACAGGCUGGGUGCCUUAUGGACAAUAUAUAGUUUCCCUAAGAAAUAAGGAUUGGUACAGAACAAGCUAAGUCAGAUGACUUUGGUAUAUACUGGGCUACACCUAAUGGAAGUUCUUAAGUUCUUAUUUAUGGCCUUGCUAUUAACUGCUAGCUAUUUUGUUUUAUAUUGUUUUGUAUAUUGCCUGUUUCAUAAGUGUUGUCCCUUACAUUACUAAGUAUUUGACUGAGUCACUGAUAAAAUGAUAGUAUACAGUCCCAUAUAAGGUCAGUAAUUGCAACAGUGUAACUCUAGAUAUGGGAAAAAAGAACCAAAGGGAAUAUUUUCCUGGACCGCAAGAGAUUCAGAAGCACAGGUAGUCCAGACAGUUUUGAAUACUGUUUUAUGGCCUAGUCCAGUGACAGCACAUUUAGUGGCCUAUCAACAAAAUCUUCAUAAGACUUGGAAUGAGCAUUCCUAGCACCAUGGGACAAAAUGGUCAUGUAAUGCCCUCAAACCAUAGUCAGCUUCAUGAACCUGAAGGGGCUCAGCCAGUUGGCACUUGCCAUCUGUCUCUACAGAAAUUAAAUCAUGGCCACUGAAGCUGCUGACCUUCAAUACCCCCUGAAAGGAAGUCAGGGUGGAAAUUAGGAAUGAGGCACUCUGUGCUCUGGAAAAAUUGUCAAAAGAGCCCUUCAGAUAGUUAAACACUUUCAGGAGUAGAUAUUUUGUAAGCCCUGAGUCUUGCAUCUUCUUGUACCUAGAGAAACAUUAACAUCAUUGACAGGGACAGUCGCUGUGGCUAUUUAAGGAAAAAUUAUAGUUAAAGUCAACAUAGAGUAGCUAUGGAACUGACUAGGUGACACUAUGGUGUGAUUUCAGACAAGUCCUUGUAUUGUUAACAACUUGAGUUUUCUGACCUGUGUUAGACUUAGAAUACCGUCAGCCAUUCGAAAAAUAAAAGUAGCAGAUAACUACAGCCUUACUUUUUAAAGAAAGAAAAAGAAAGUGAAGUCACUCAGUCAUGUCCAACUCUUUGCAACCCCAUGGACUGCAGCCCAGCAGACUCCUCCGUCCAGGGAAUUUUCCAGAUGACACAGAUUCACAUCAAGAUAAAGAUGAUGUGCGAAGAAAACCCAUGCCCCCAAAGAGAUUACAGCCACUCCUCCAAACAUCCAGUGGGAAUAACCACAAAAGUCACGCUGGGGCCCCUUAAUAGAACAGGGUGAGAGCUCCAUGACCCCAACUAGGUACGGUCUAUGAGUUCUGUGUCAGCAUUAAAGAAGUUAUAGAAGACUGACCAUCUGUCCCUCAUCACCUCAAUAAAGAUUUCUUGGGGUUCACAUCUCAAGGAAAAUUUAAAGUAGGAGAUAGAUGGUCCCUGGGCUGAAUAGCUGGUGAUUUUCAAACGGAGCAAAACUGAAGUUUGUCCUCAGCCAGACAAGAAUGACGUAUUUCCCUUCCUCCAUUGUUAGGAGGGAAUAAACUGAUGGGGGAGUUGUUGCAGUAAAAAGGGAAAAAGAGGAAUGAGUUUUUCUUUUUUACUUCUCUGAGAGCAAAGAAGAUAAAGAAGAACAGUGAGCAGGCCUGAACAUUCCUAGUUUAUUUUACUUUAACUGCUCCUGAUUCCAUAUGUCUGUAACUAAGCUUGCUUUUCUGCUCCCUAGCUCUGCAGGAGCUACGCUUCACUUGACUCUAUACUAAAUACAUCCUCUAUCUGAUGUUUACCUUUACAACAGCCUUCCCCUUGUAGUUACAUGUCAGAAAGAAGGCCUCAGAGCCACCAGACUGCCAGAUGCAGUUAUGGGUUACUGAUGCCGGUUUAUGACUGUCUUUGACAUGAUGCAAGAGGAAGAAAUCACGAUCCUAUCACCUUUGUUUCCUCAUCACUGACUCCUGACUGCUCCUGACUGUGAGCACCUGCCUUAGGGACACAGUUCUUGAGGCAGGAGCAUGCUGCGUUCCCCUCUCCACUACCUGAGAAUAAAAGGUACCAUUCUAUUUCUUCCAAA